CCUGAUAUUCAGUCUGUAGACCAGGAUAGCCUCAAAUUCACAGAGAUCCGCCUGCCUCUGCCUUCUGAGUCCUGGGAU
This 78-nucleotide microRNA precursor is filed under the name Mus pahari (shrew mouse). Its description in RNAcentral is "miRNA (MGP_PahariEiJ_G0007620.1)". The record is from RNAcentral. Lineage: Eukaryota; Metazoa; Chordata; Mammalia; Rodentia; Muridae.